Solenopsis invicta (red fire ant) is the source of this 2044-nucleotide long non-coding RNA. RefSeq lists it as uncharacterized. NCBI's taxonomy places the organism in Eukaryota, Metazoa, Arthropoda, Insecta, Hymenoptera, Formicidae. The transcript is spliced from 3 exons. The record is from RefSeq and is a predicted model, not a curated record.
CGAACGUUCUUCAGUGACACACGAUCCGUGAUACAGUGCGGAAGUAUUAUAAUGUUAUCGCCGUAUGAGCAUUACUGAUUGUAGCGACAUUGUAAUAUUGUAACCAUAAAAUUUAUCGUGAUCACAGUCAACCAGAAAAGAAUAUUAAUUCGAUCUCUAGUAAAUAAUUAACGAUUUAUAGUAUGUUAGGUUACGGUCACAGUGAAUUUCUGUCUCUAUACUUUGUACCAACAAAAAUGCUCGUUACAAAAUGCAAGAUAUGUGCUGAAGAUAUCACAGCCGAAGAUCAUGAAUGUUUAGACGGACUUUUAAAGGUACAUCUUUUAGAUCGACACCGACCAGCAGUAACGCAAGAAGUACACAGAUAUAUCGUUAGUGGCGAAUUGAGGGGAUUUUACACAAUGUUCAUAGAUACUUCUGAGAUAAUAUGCGAAUUUGAUAGUUGCAGUAUCAGUAUAUUUUGUGGUUACGAUUUCUUAAUCAAUCAUUUAAAAUAUCAUCAUGGUCUAUAUAAUCCUGAAAAUCAUCCUUUAUAUGAGCGAAUUGUUUUUUCUGGACAACGGUAUCAACCAACAUGUUGGGAAAAAGCGAACAUUACAGAACACCGGAGCUCUCUUAACUUGAUUUGGCGAUAUUGCACAGUAAUUACGCAUUUUGUGUUAUGCAAUUUUUGUGGUGAACAAUUAUGGCCAACAUUUACGCCAAGAAGAUUUCACAAGAGAUUUAUAGUGCUUCAUAUGAUAAUUAUACAUCGAGAGAGAGUUGAAGAAAUGCUGAAAGAAAUUUGGGAAAGUGUUGAAGAUACUGAUUUAUCACAACAUAUUGCAUUUGACUUGCACAACCUUCAAACAGAAUGCACUUAUUGCGAACGAAAAUUUUGUCCCUUUAAGGCAACAGAUUACUUAAAGAAUCACGCACUUAGCCAUCUUCCAAUAUCACGAGACAUAAUCCAAGAAUCAAAAACUGAAAAAGACCAAUGCGAACUUUUAUGAUAGGGCAACAACCAGCCCCAAGUUUGCAAAAGUAGCAGAGAUCAAGAAAGACGGUAAAUAUUGCAGGUAUUUGGAUUAUAAAAAUUAAUGUUUGCAUCCAACAAUUAAAUAACAAUGUGACUGAGAUACAAAUUUAUAGUAUUAACCACGUUCUAUAGUAAGGCGGAUAAUAAGGACUACAAGGAAAUGCAUUACAUUUCAAAUUUUGAUAGCACCAAUAAGAGGCACAGUUAUGACUUCAGUUUCUUAAAUAGUCUGUAAUAUGUGAUAGGCAUUUAAUACUACUAAUAAUUAAUUUGCUACUACUAAUAAUUAAUUGUUAUGAUACGUAAAGCGAAUUUACAAACUAAGCAUUGACAGUUAUACGAACAUAUAACUUAUUAAUUAAUUUACAGUAAUUAUUCGUAUUCUUUAUUUUUAUAUAAAUUAUUAUUUGAAAUUUUUUGAAUCAUUGUCGACAAAUCCAUUUUUUACGUAUAUUAUACGACACCUGUAUCAUAUCUUUUAAUAUCUUGAUUUAAGUUUUUUAAAAUACUUAUUGAUUGCUUAAACAACUUUAAGAGGUCAAAUUAUUUGUACAAUGUAAAUAUUAAUAUUUGAAAAACGGAAUGGUGUUAAUUUGUGUUAUCACUCUUCAUUACAAGAAACAGAAUGUUAAUAUAGUAUAAACAAUAAACAAUAAAAAAAAUUUAGAUGAAAUUAGUGAAUUAAUAAUAAGUUGAAUUCAAAUAUUAUAACGUUAAAGUUACGCCCACACAUUGUCAAAUUUAGUAUAUACCUUUAUUUAAUAAAAAAAACAGUUAUUAUAAUAUGUAGAAACAACUUUAAGUAUAUUUGAUUUGGUGUAUUGUUAGUUCAUGACCAUAUUUAAUAUUAUCAUUAUAAUUAUAUGUGUUUAAUGAUUAUAACGAUGACGUAGUUGGAAGCAUUCUAACUAAUAAAUUUUAAAAACUGUUUGGUUCAAUUAAUGUCUAAUUAAUCUAAGAUAUAUAACUACUCAGUAUGAUAAAUGUAUAUUUAAUACUUUUGGUGGCAAUAAAUUUUAUUAAACA